GAGCGCGUAGCUCAGUUGGUAGAGCAACGGACUUUUAAUCUGUAGGUCCAGGGUUCGAAUCCCUGCGCGCUCA
Molecule: transfer RNA, 73 nt
Filed under: Rhizobium sp. Leaf371
Lineage: Bacteria; Pseudomonadati; Pseudomonadota; Alphaproteobacteria; Hyphomicrobiales; Rhizobiaceae
Also listed under: 9 other names
Rfam family: tRNA
About the family: Transfer RNA (tRNA) molecules are approximately 80 nucleotides in length. Their secondary structure includes four short double-helical elements and three loops (D, anti-codon, and T loops).
Source: Rfam by way of RNAcentral